CCUACGGGAGGCAGCAGUAGGGAAUCUUCCGCAAUGGACGCAAGUCUGACGGAGCAACGCCGCGUGAGUGACGAAGGUUUUCGGAUCGUAAAACUCUGUUGUGAGGGAAGAACACGUACCAGCUAACUACUGGUACCUUGACGGUACCUCACCAGAAAGCCACGGCUAACUACGUGCCAGCAGCCGCGGUAAUACGUAGGUGGCAAGCGUUGUCCGGAAUUAUUGAGCGUAAAGCGCGCGCAGGCGGUCCUUUAAGUCUGAUGUGAAAGCCCACGGCUCAACCGUGGAGGGUCAUUGGAAACUGGAGGACUUGAGUGCAGAAGAGGAAAGUGGAAUUCCAUGUGUAGCGGUGAAAUGCGUAGAGAUGUGGAGGAACACCAGUGGCGAAGGCGACUCUCUGGUCUGUAACUGACGCUGAGGCGCGAAAGCGUGGGGAGCAAACAGGAUUAGAUACCCUGGUAGUCCACGCCGUAAACGAUGAGUGCUAAGUGUUAGGGGGUUUCCGCCCCUUANUGCUGCAGCUAACGCAUUAAGCAAUCCCGCGGCCAUGGCGGCCGGGAACAUGCGACGUCGGGCCCAAUUCGCCCUAUAGUGGAGUCGUAUNAAA
RNAcentral lists this ribosomal RNA (607 nucleotides) under uncultured Planococcus sp. RNAcentral's name for it is "bacterial SSU rRNA". The stretch from base 1 to 544 matches the Rfam family "Bacterial small subunit ribosomal RNA", at positions 338 to 873 of the family's 1533-position model. Lineage: Bacteria; Bacillati; Bacillota; Bacilli; Caryophanales; Caryophanaceae. The record is from RNAcentral.